AAUAAGAACAGCAUGUGGAUUCUGGACCCUUACAGAGUACCUCGCAGCUUCCUCAGCGUUCUAGGAACUUCGUUCGCACCGAACAUUAUCGCUUACAUAAUGAAUGUGCAAAAGUAUGGCGAACUGCAGGUUGUUUUUAAUGGCAUGGCGUGGCAUGGAAAAUUUUGUAAAUGAUAUGAAAAGGAAUGUUGAAGAAAGCAAUUACAAUUAUUUAAAAUAAAUAUCUGCUAUUCGCAAAUUCAAUCAAGAUUAAAUUAAACUGAACGCUAAAUCAAACUUUAUUUAAAGUAAAAAUUACAUUUAAAAUGUUGCUGAUUAAGAAUGUUUUAUACUAAUAAUUUGCUUGAGUACCAAGUAAAUAAAUACAAAAAGAUCAGACUACAAGAGACUUUAAUAAAUUAUAUUCCAACUAGAAAGUUUGAUAUGUAUAGAAGUCUGUGAACGUCGUAGCUAGACACUCGUCAGGUUGGAAACUAGGUCUUGCCUAGUAACCCAUUUCGUUAUAUUUUCCAGCAUAAAUCGAUGUUCCAUUUUGUUGGACGCAUCCAUCUCGGCAGUUAUACAUAUUUUACCCAAUAUAAGAGUAAAGCAUAGAAUUUAAAUGUAACUAUUUUCAAAGUUUUAAAUGAAAGAUUGCAAGCAGAGGAUAUUCUAAGAUGCCUCAUGAAUAUUCCGUGAUAUGAAAAAUCAAUUCUUCACUGAAUAUGAAAUGCUUCGAGCUAAAUUUUAUCGUAACGAUUACAAAUCUAUAUCGAAUAUCUAAUAUUCUGUCCUUGAUGUAACUUCGAUAUUUCAGAGGGACGCGUUGUUUCAUGAAGAGUCCGAAAAGAUUGAGGAAAAGCCGUUUCUUGAAGAUUUUCUAAACGCAGGAAAAGCUCGGAAAGAAACCGCGAGUUCGCACAAUCUGUGGCAAGUCCAACGUUCGUGCAUGGCGUUCGUGACGAAGCGUUUCAAGGCUGAGCCGCCGUUCCUCUCGGCCCCUUGCCUCGUCUCGGCUCGUCUACUAUCGGCUUUAUCCUCGUCUAUCCUCAUAUAUCCCACCGCGCCGCACAACGACGAAUCUAUCCUAUCGCAUGACUCCGCAGCGUUACGCAACAGCCAGUGCGCGCGCGAGCGCAAGCAUGAACGCGGCGUUGCCGAGCGUGGUCGAGCGAGCGGCCUCGACGCCGAAGAGAGGCGCGUGUACGAGUACAGUCGAGCGCAUUAAUAAUCGCAUAAUCAGCUGUCUGAUGCCCGCCAAGAGCAAAAAGAAUCGACGAGCGUGCGUGUCGCACAGUAAAUCCAUUAAUUCGCUCGAUGUAUGUAUUGUACAUGCAUAUGCGCGCAUAUGUAUGAAGGCGAUCGCAGACGGUUGCAAAUGCAUAACGUAAGAUGCAGGAGAGACUCGGUUUGCAAAUGACGAUUACGGCUACCCGUGAAAUCGGAUCCACGACCUAUGUUCCCGAUGGAUGCAACCGCGAGAGUUAAGUAGAUAAUUGAGCAAUUAUCAUGACGAUAAAUGCAGUAUGAGUAAUUAGCAAAAAUCGCAACAAUGAGCGAUGAGUAAUAAAAUACACGAUGACGGAUCAUUAGGUGACUAAUUGUAAGAUUCCACCACGGAUCGGUAAUCGGACGUCGAGUCAGUAAAAUAUCGUAACUAGGUCGGAUCGCUUCCUCCGAAGGGCAUGCAUGUAUAGUUAGCACCUUUGUUGCACUUCCGGUGCACUUCCGCAUAGCACCGUCGCGUCGGGGCCGUCGGAGAGACGUAAAGCGUGAAAUGCACGUGCACCUGCACGUUGCGGGAGCGCGCGCGAGCCUUGUGCGUUACCGCUCGUUCGGAACGGAAUAAAAGCUGAUCCCUGUCCUUCCGGGCAGACGUAUCACGGCGCACUGAUUGCACGAACCUCGUCAUCGAAGUCGGUCACGUUGCAAGGAGAUUGCAUGAAGAAGUAGAAACAGAAAAGAUAUGAACAGACAUACAACGGACUCUUGGAUUUGAUCGUUGGACGGGAUGCGCGGAAACAUAAAUCCGUGACUUCCUUUUACGAAAAUCACUCUUUGAGAGCUGAAAGAAGAUGGACGAAGCUACGAGAAAGACCAGUAAAAAGAGAGAGAGACACAGGAAGACGACGAGUCUAGCCGUUUCGGUUGCAUACAUUGAACACCCCUCCGUAUUCCUUUUCGGCAUCAUUUCCCUCUAGCUCCUCGGCACGCGGACAAUGGCUCUUUUUUCCGACGACGUUUGAAGGUCGAAACGCAAGUCGGUGUCAAACGGGAGUAGCAGCAGCGAGGCAAAAUGGCGAGCUCGUUCACGUAACCGCAAGAGGCAGGGAAUCCCUCCCCGCAUCGGCUAAAUCUAGCCCGCAACUUUUUCUUCAGUGCUCGCAAGGUCGAUUAAUUACCGACGCUCGCGUCUUUUUGCGAAUGCUGCUCAUCGUGGAAAUCUUCUUGACGCGCGCUUUACGCGCUUUACACGUUCAAUUUGCAUGCUGCCUCGCGUAACAGACGCGAUAAGGGGAGAACCGAACAGAAAUUUUUCUUCGCCUGGUAGUUGGAAUGGAAAUUCAUUGUAGGGUAAAAAAAGCAGAGAGGCAAUAAUAAAGUAAUUUCGCUGUGCACGGAUCGCAUAUUUAACUUGCGUUACUGAAUAAAUGGGGAGGAUACUGUUUCGUAACGUAAUGUACUUUUCGUAGCGUAUUCUGCAAUGGUACAUUUUAUCGUGGCGAUCGCGAUUGAGCACGCAACACACAUUACGGUAUAUCACGCAACAUUACACUUAUGAUAGUUGUGACACGCAGACGCUGGAGAAGCACGCUUGCGUGAUGCUUCCUGCGUACGCAUACCGGGUGCCCUACAUUUCUUAACUACAUCCACGCAUUAACUAUGCUUUUAUUAUGGUCACUGAUGUGGAACUUCACGAACGAACGAAGGAAAUCAGCAGAAAAGAGAAGUCAGAGACGCGAAAUGUUUAAAAGAAAUAAUUAAAGAUAUCUUUAAGUAGAGAAAGUUUUUAAUAUCAUUUUUAUAAUGUCACGCUUCUUAUUAUUUAUUAUAAAAUUACAAAAUAAUAUUACAGUUAAGAGUUCCAGCUGGAGUCACUCAUCCUGCGAGUUCGAUGGUGGAUUUUGCCGCGCUACCUUGUAUAAGUAGGAAAGUUGCGAAGAUUCCGUGAUUCCGCGUUUAGCAAAGGGGCCAAGAACAACAUCGAAGAAUGCACCGAGUGGUACAGCGCGCGUGUGCAGUGACACAGAUCCACGCCCCCAAACUCCUCUUCCUCCACCCUCCGUUAACCCCUUUGCAAACUAGGCCAGUGCAUCUAUGAGGCGACCGCAGAAAUUCGCUCGCAGGUUCCUAGUUAUUCAUGAAUUUUCGCAUUAUUUUUAUUUCUCAUUCAUGCUUAUCUUUCUAACGUUCCGCAUCUGUCUCCUGGAAAAAGGUGCUAGUGCUUCGGCACAGGAUAGUUUCAUGAACUCUAGCAUUGAAUUCUUUAUUUUGACAAAACUUAACUAACUCACAUCCCUAAUCCCACUCUUGCUUUCAUAGAACUGACCUGAUUGGAUCAGCCGUAAUACCAGUUACGUCACCGAGCGUGAGAAUCGUCCGUCAUCCUUGUAGGACCCUGAACAUUCCCUUCUUCGGUCUACCCGGCUAGAGGGCCGGCUGGUAGAGAUCGGCUUUGAGAGAGGGCAAGGGUAAUCGAGGAACCAUUCGAGGGGCGAGGGAGGAGCACCACGCAGAAUGGUAUUUCCGUUGUUGUAUCGCCUGUCCAUUUGGCAGGUUCGGUUGGGAGCAUGCGCGCAACUCGUGCCCACCUACUCACUCAUCUACCUACCUACUAGUCUGUUUGCCUGCUUACCUGCCUACCGGUUUGCCUUGAUCCCUCGAAUAGUCAGUAGGUGGGUUGGUAAGUAAGUAGGUACGUUUGUCUUACGUAAGCUUAUCCGCCAUACAUGCCGGGUCAACAAGAACGAAAAAAGGUGGAGGAGAAAAAAGAAUCAAAGGAAGGAGAUGCAGACGAGCAGUUGUUGAUAUUCAAGAUAAUUAUUUUAUUCCGAGAUAAUUUAUUAUUUUAUUAUCGAUGAAAAAUAAUCAUGACAGGUGUUCUUACCGGAAACGGGAAAAAGAAUCAUUAUUUAUGCAACAAUAUAAGGAGUUUAAAUAAUUAUUUGCAUUGAUAGCAGAUAAUUUUUGUGUACAUUUCUCAAAGUAAUUGGUACAAAUUAAAGCAAUUUAUAUAUUGUAGAUAUACGUUGAAAUCUCAUUGCUAGCAGUGUUUGGAUCAUAUAAUACUCUUUCCGCACAUACGUUUUUUAAGAAUUUUAGAAAUGAAUUAUCCGCACACAUACACACAAAUAAUUCGUCAGAAUAUUUUCACCAAUAUGAAUUUUUCAAAAUAUUCUUCACCUUCGGCAAUCCUACAUCCUACAACCAGGAUAAGAAAACAUUUAAUCGUUUCCACGUAUGAUGACCAGUAAUUUUCCUACAUUAUAUAGUAUGACGCACGGAUUGGCUCGCUCGCGUGCUCACGAUUUCCGGGAAGAAAGGAACACGAGUGUCGCGGUAUGCUUCCCGCAGGAGCGGCUCCGGUUGUCCUUGAGAUCUUGGUCCUCCUCAAUAUUGUUCAUGGCGGAAAGCUCUGUUUCGCAGGGCGUGGUCUAGCGAUAACCUCACAGGAGCCAUCUUCGACCGAGAAAUCGUCUGGGAAUGGUGGGUGAGGGUAAAAAUCGGGGUGGGCUUUUCGGCGAAGAAGAUACGAGCGAAUACCAUGGAGACCUCUAUGUGUGCAGGCUUAUGAUAGAAAUGGAUGAAAGAAAAGAUAUCAUUUUUCGCUAUCAUACUUCAAGGUUUCCACAAAAAAAUAUCGGACUUGAAAUAACGUUCUCCUCUUUUUAGAAAUAGAAAAUACUCGAAAUUUAAAACUAACGAUGCAAAGACUUUGCGUAUAAUUCUCUGUAAAAUAAAAAAUUAAAAAGAGUUUCUCAUUCUUCUCAUAAAUUUCUCGAGAACGAGUAAUCGAUCACCGUUAGUCAACGUAAUAUUGGCAUACGCGAAUGCAAAAUUGCCGACAUCUCGACUGUGCUCAAAGACUGCCUAAUAAAUGAUAUCGUUGUCGAUUACGCAACUUAGAAGUGUGUGCGUACGUGUGACGAUAAAGAUAUUUGGUCUAACUGUAGCACAUUGUCCAUUACUGAUCACUUAUUCAAGCUCAGUAUGCUUUUUUCAUCUGACUACGUUUUCACGAUUUAUGAUGUUUCGAGAAUUUUUAGUACUCCUUCGGAUACGUGAAAUAUGCGUUAUGUAACACACCCACGCGCGCAAGAGCCCGAGAGCUUCUAAAUAUAAAACUAAUUAAACAUCAUAAAUUAGAAUAUAGGAAUAUAUCGAAUAGAAAGGACAUUCGUAAGGGAUUUUAGACGCGUUCUAGAGAGAAAGGUGCGCUGACUUCAGCUCGAGAAAUAACCGUGCUGACUUCAGCACUAAAGUUCCGUUCAUAAAGCGUCGCGUGCUUUUAUUCGUCUUCGCUUCUUCAAGGCCUAGCUGCCCCCUUUGCACCCCCUUCUUGUAUCCCUUCCAUUCGACAGAUUCACUACAGCGUGCUUAUAACGUGGCACCUUUCCGCUCUUCUCGUCUCAUCAUGGCUACCAUCAGUCUCUCACUCUCUCUUCUUGCUUCCUUGCAUCUUUAUGUAUCUCCCCCUCUCCUUUUAUUCUACCUAUCUCUCUCGUGCAUUUUGCUCUUCUCUAGCAUCACACAUAUGCCUUGCCUACACCCCCUCCUGCCCUCAUGCAAUGAUCCACGGUCUUUACCGCUGCCUCUUUGCCCCACGAACCAACCGUUUCGCAAUGAUGUCAUCCGCACCAUUGGCGUCGAGUCUGAUUUUCAUAAAACUCCAAUGACGGAAUUAGAGUUAGGACUGCAAAUUUUGUAAUUAUUCAUCUCUGAUAAAGUUGUCGUAGAGUUUUGACAAUCACGCUUUUUGCAUGAUAUUUAUAUACUACGUAACAAAGUAUAAGUGAAUAUAAUAUUAUAAAAAUGAAUUUAUACAACAAUAAGCAAUAAUAUUACCAUGAAGGACAUGUUAUCAAAAUUAAUAAAAUAUGAUUUAAUUUUUAUUGAAACAUUUUUAUGACUGUGAAAAGCUAAUUCGUUUAUUUCUUUGGCAAGCUGAAAUGUUUUCCUGAAAUCAGGUACAGUGCGAUGAAGCAAGACGAUAUAAUAUCGGGGCCAACGAGUAAAAUUAGAUGGCGAGGAUGGAAUCCGAGUGCGGUAUGCGAUCCGAAAUGGAAACGGAAACGCUUGGUCUUAGCGAAAGAUGGCCGCAACAUGACGCUGCGUAAGAAAAUGGCGCCUUAGCACUCGCAAAUGGUUGCGUGUCCCACGCUCUCUUGUCACAAUAGAAAAAAAAUCUUCACGCUGUUUUUCUUUUUUAUGUAUACAUAUAUGUUAGAUUUAAAUUAGACAUUAAAUUUUUUUCAUAUAAAUGCUAAGGCCGCAUAGUUGAUAAAUCGUUAUCUUAUGUAA
Molecule: long non-coding RNA, 6501 nt
Organism: Ooceraea biroi (clonal raider ant)
Lineage: Eukaryota; Metazoa; Arthropoda; Insecta; Hymenoptera; Formicidae
Source: RefSeq, a predicted model, not a curated record